CGGGGUGAGUAACGCGUGGGUGACCUGCCCCAUACCGGGGGAUAACAGCUGGAAACGGCUGCUAAUACCGCAUAAGCGCACAGAGCUGCAUGGCUCAGUGUGAAAAACUCCGGUGGUAUGGGAUGGGCCCGCGUCUGAUUAGGCAGUUGGCGGGGUAACGGCCCACCAAACCGACGAUCAGUAGCCGGCCUGAGAGGGCGACCGGCCACAUUGGGACUGAGACGCGGCCCAA
RNAcentral lists this ribosomal RNA (232 nucleotides) under uncultured bacterium. RNAcentral's name for it is "partial 16S ribosomal RNA". It matches the Rfam family "Bacterial small subunit ribosomal RNA", at positions 104 to 334 of the family's 1533-position model. The record is from RNAcentral.